Molecule: ribosomal RNA, 365 nt
Filed under: uncultured Glomeraceae
Lineage: Eukaryota; Fungi; Glomeromycota; Glomeromycetes; Glomerales; Glomeraceae
Description: partial large subunit ribosomal RNA
Source: RNAcentral
CAGUCGUACCUUCGGGUAAUCAGCCUUUCGGGUGCGAUUCUGUGGAGUGUGAGGAGUUAAACACCUUCAUGUUUUGCAUAUUCGUACUCUUGGGUGUACUUACCCGUGUGGUUGGUUAACAUCAAUUUUGGUGGUCAUAAAAUGACUGGAGGAAUGUAGCUUCGAUCUCGUAUUGAAGUGUUAUAGCCUUCGGUAGAUGUGAUGAUCGAGAUUGAGGAUUGCAACGGAUACCCUUCGGGGCUACCUGUCUGAUCUCUGAUCGUUGCUCUGGUGCCGAAAGCUUGCUUACGGUUAUCAAAGUCGAUGGUCAAUAGGUUAGAACGGGUUAAAUUCGUUAAGGAUGUUGACGUAAUGGCUUUAAACGA